AGAGUUUGGAAUCAUGGCUCAGGACGAACGCUGGCGGCGUGCCUAAUACAUGCAAGUCGAACGAACUCUGGUAUUGAUUGGUGCUUGCAUCAUGAUUUACAUUUGAGUGAGUGGCGAACUGGUGAGUAACACGUGGGAAACCUGCCCAGAAGCGGGGGAUAACACCUGGAAACAGAUGCUAAUACCGCAUAACAACUUGGACCGCAUGGUCCGAGUUUGAAAGAUGGCUUCGGCUAUCACUUUUGGAUGGUCCCGCGGCGUAUUAGCUAGAUGGUGGGGUAACGGCUCACCAUGGCAAUGAUACGUAGCCGACCUGAGAGGGUAAUCGGCCACAUUGGGACUGAGACACGGCCCAAACUCCUACGGGAGGCAGCAGUAGGGAAUCUUCCACAAUGGACGAAAGUCUGAUGGAGCAACGCCGCGUGAGUGAAGAAGGGUUUCGGCUCGUAAAACUCUGUUGUUAAAGAAGAACAUAUCUGAGAGUAACUGUUCAGGUAUUGACGGUAUUUAACCAGAAAGCCACGGCUAACUACGUGCCAGCAGCCGCGGUAAUACGUAGGUGGCAAGCGUUGUCCGGAUUUAUUGGGCGUAAAGCGAGCGCAGGCGGUUUUUUAAGUCUGAUGUGAAAGCCUUCGGCUCAACCGAAGAAGUGCAUCGGAAACUGGGAAACUUGAGUGCAGAAGAGGACAGUGGAACUCCAUGUGUAGCGGUGAAAUGCGUAGAUAUAUGGAAGAACACCAGUGGCGAAGGCGGCUGUCUGGUCUGUAACUGACGCUGAGGCUCGAAAGUAUGGGUAGCAAACAGGAUUAGAUACCCUGGUAGUCCAUACCGUAAACGAUGAAUGCUAAGUGUUGGAGGGUUUCCGCCCUUCAGUGCUGCAGCUAACGCAUUAAGCAUUCCGCCUGGGGAGUACGGCCGCAAGGCUGAAACUCAAAGGAAUUGACGGGGGCCCGCACAAGCGGUGGAGCAUGUGGUUUAAUUCGAAGCUACGCGAAGAACCUUACCAGGUCUUGACAUACUAUGCAAAUCUAAGAGAUUAGACGUUCCCUUCGGGGACAUGGAUACAGGUGGUGCAUGGUUGUCGUCAGCUCGUGUCGUGAGAUGUUGGGUUAAGUCCCGCAACGAGCGCAACCCUUAUUAUCAGUUGCCAGCAUUAAGUUGGGCACUCUGGUGAGACUGCCGGUGACAAACCGGAGGAAGGUGGGGAUGACGUCAAAUCAUCAUGCCCCUUAUGACCUGGGCUACACACGUGCUACAAUGGAUGGUACAACGAGUUGCGAACUCGCGAGAGUAAGCUAAUCUCUUAAAGCCAUUCUCAGUUCGGAUUGUAGGCUGCAACUCGCCUACAUGAAGUCGGAAUCGCUAGUAAUCGCGGAUCAGCAUGCCGCGGUGAAUACGUUCCCGGGCCUUGUACACACCGCCCGUCACACCAUGAGAGUUUGUAACACCCAAAGUCGGUGGGGUAACCUUUUAGAACCAGCCGCCUAAGUGGGGACAGAUGAUUAGGGUGAGUCUACUACAAGAGUGAUGAUACACGCGAGA
This 1542-nucleotide ribosomal RNA is filed under the name Lactiplantibacillus pentosus. RNAcentral's name for it is "bacterial SSU rRNA". It matches the Rfam family "Bacterial small subunit ribosomal RNA". The record is from RNAcentral. Lineage: Bacteria; Bacillati; Bacillota; Bacilli; Lactobacillales; Lactobacillaceae.